GGUUGGAUUGCUAUCCUGGGUGCACUGUGGCUUUUGGUUCUGGCCGACCUCCAGGAUUUCGAGAUCAUCCUGCACCGGGUGGAGUGGGCCACAUUGCUGUUCUUUGCUGGCCUCUUCGUUUUGAUGGAGGCUUUAGCCCAGCUGCAGCUUAUCGACUAUGUUGGAGAACAGACAGCGCUGCUUAUAAAAGCGGUGCCAGAAGACCAGCGAUUGGCUAUAGCCAUUAUCUUGGUGAUGUGGGUCUCAGCUCUGGCCUCUUCUCUCAUUGACAACAUUCCCUUCACUGCAACCAUG
Micropterus dolomieu (smallmouth bass) is the source of this 294-nucleotide long non-coding RNA. RefSeq lists it as uncharacterized. NCBI's taxonomy places the organism in Eukaryota, Metazoa, Chordata, Actinopteri, Centrarchiformes, Centrarchidae. The record is from RefSeq and is a predicted model, not a curated record. The transcript is spliced from 3 exons.